UAUAUGGUUAAGGUUUUAUGUAUAUCUGUGUUUUUUUAUUUGUGGAUUAAAUGAUUUAUUUAUCACAUUCGUUACACCAUGAAAGGCCAGUAUAAAUUGUAAAGGAUUAUUAAAUUGGAUCCCAUAAGAAGUUGCAGAUUCCAGCAUCCUAAAAAAUGUAAGAAGAAAACUAGAAACAAGGGCAUCCAUUAUCAACGAAAAGCGUGCUUGCGAACGAACCUCGACUCGCCACGACCUACAUACGGACACAGAUGAUGUCUUCGUUGCGUCUUGUGGGAUUAUUUUUAAAACGAGAAAAAAAAAAAGAAAUAAAAGGAACAAGGAAAUGAAAAGAAGGGGAAAAAAGAAAAUAGGUAAGAAACGCGUAGAACAAAACGGUACAAUUUUUACGAUCGAAAUUAUAAUAACACUAUUCAAAAUUAUUUCUUAUCAUUUUAAUUGCGUUGAAAUUUUACUCGAUACAAAUAAAGUCCAAACUAUCAACGUUAUCGUCGGUUUAUUUUUGUAAACGUUAUUUCUGAAUGAAUUUAAAAUUUUUUAAUGAUAUAUUUCUUCAUAUACGUUAUAUUAAUUUUGUAGAAAUUAUUAUACGUCGACUCAUAUAAUUUAUUUAUUAAAUAAUAUUUGCAUGCAAUUAUUGUUAGAGAAACGUCAAAAUAUAAUCUAAAAGUCAAAUACACGCACGUGUCGCACUCACGUUCAUUCGCUUGCUUAAAGAAAAUGCAUUUCUAUUAAACACAAUAGAUAAAAUAUCAAAAUAAAAAAGUAAUUAUAAGAAACGUAUUGUCGGAGGUCAUGAAGGUAAAGGUUGAAGAAGAAAGAAAAUGUAUGUGCAUACAUGCGUUAUAUACAUAUAUAUAUAUAUAUG
Molecule: long non-coding RNA, 868 nt
Organism: Polistes canadensis
Lineage: Eukaryota; Metazoa; Arthropoda; Insecta; Hymenoptera; Vespidae
Exons: 3
Source: RefSeq, a predicted model, not a curated record